This 520-nucleotide ribosomal RNA is filed under the name uncultured Glomus. Its description in RNAcentral is "SSU rRNA". It matches the Rfam family "Eukaryotic small subunit ribosomal RNA", at positions 569 to 1092 of the family's 1831-position model. Lineage: Eukaryota; Fungi; Glomeromycota; Glomeromycetes; Glomerales; Glomeraceae. The record is from RNAcentral.
AGCAGCCGCGGUAAUUCCAGCUCCAAUAGCGUAUAUUAAAGUUGUUGCAGUUAAAAAGCUCGUAGUUGAAUUUCGGGAUCAAUACGUCGGUCGUGCUUCGGUACGUACUGGCGUCAUUGAUUUCUCCCUUCUGACGAACCAUGAUGUCAUUAACUUGGUGUCAUGGGAAAUCAGGACUGUUACUUUGAAAAAAUUAGAGUGUUUAAAGCAGGCUCACGCUUGAAUACAUUAGCAUGGAAUAAUGAAAUAGGACGUUCGAUCCUAUUUUGUUGGUUUUUAGGAUCAACGUAAUGAUUAAUAGGGAUAGUUGGGGCAUUAGUAUUCAAUUGUCAGAGGUGAAAUUCUUGGAUUUAUUGAAGACUAACUACUGCGAGAGCAUUUGCCAAGGAUGUUUUCAUUAAUCAAGAACGAAAGUUAGGGGAUCGAAGACGAUCAGAUACCGUCGUAGUCUUAACCAUAAACUAUGCCGACUAGGGAUCGGAUGAUGUUAAUUUUUUAAUGACUCAUUCGGCGCCUUACG